Mytilus californianus (California mussel) is the source of this 2050-nucleotide long non-coding RNA. RefSeq lists it as uncharacterized. The record is from RefSeq and is a predicted model, not a curated record. NCBI's taxonomy places the organism in Eukaryota, Metazoa, Mollusca, Bivalvia, Mytilida, Mytilidae. The transcript has 3 exons.
CCAAGGAUAGAAACAAGUGCCUGUGCGAACAACUGAAGAAAGCAGACCUGUUUAAAGUGUUAUCCCACAGAGAAUGGAUUUUUGCUACUAAUAUUUCACUCAGAGUUUAUCCAUCACUCUGUCAAACUUGGUAUAGAGUAUUGACAGGGUGAAGGUUACUUAAACUUGUUCACAUCUUGACCAUAAAGGCAAAAGACAGACAUUCAGAGGCCUUUCAAGUUUCCAUAGACAAAGGAUCCUGGAGGAAUACAAAUAUUUGGAAGUGGUAUCUAAAAUGUAGCUGCUACCAGUGCCAUUUAAAGUUACCAGAGCAGAAAUUUAAGUUAAGGAGAAAGUGAUACACAAGAUUUUCCAGAAGAGCUACAUAAUCAUUAAUAAGCUACAUAACAGACAUAAAGCUAUCAGAGUCACAUAUAAAGUCUUGGCGGCAGCAUGUUAUAAGAUGUUUGAACCAAGACCGUUGACAUACUACCCUUUUGGAUGAUUUAAAGCCUGAAGAAGUUUUGAUCAUUAUGGACUGGGCCAUGAAUUUUUUGCCCUAAUCCUUCAAGGAAAAGGAAUCAAAGUGGUUUGGUUAGAAGGGACUGGAUUGGCUUGUGUGUGUCUGCAUCUUCAAAGAUAUUGACUUGAUUGAUUAUUUGUGAAAUUUUUUUCAUAGAAUUAUAAAGAAAAUAAUGCUUUUAACUGGUUUUUGUCUUGCCUGUAAAAAAAAGGAGCACUAUGCGAGACUUAGGGAUUACUAUCUGACUGCAUCAGUGUGAACUAUUUGUGUAAAUCUUUAUAUUUUAGAAGGGGGAAGACCUGAACGCUUCACACCUUGUAUGUAGAUACCUUAUGCUAAUAAGUUUCCUUCUGUCAUGUGUCCCUUUUCCUUGACCUCAUUUUCAUGGUUCAGCAAAACCAUAAAAUAUAUAUUUACCAGGUGGUUAGUGUUGAAAAACUUUAAAAACAAAUCAGUUUUUUGGUCAUGUGAAUUUCUCACUUAUUAUGAAUAAUAAGAUUUUUUAUGCCCUUCUUAGGGCAUUAUGUUUUUUGGUCUGUACGCGUUAGUUUGUUCGUCUGUCUAUUCGUUCGUCCAUAGCCCACUUCAGUUUAAAUUUAUUGGUCAAGGUAGUUUAUGAUGAAGUUGAAGUCCAAUCAACUUGAAACUUAUUACACAUUUUCCCUAUGAUAUGAUCUUUCUAAUUUUAAUGCCAAAUAAGAGUUUUGACCUCUAAUUUCACAGUCCACAGAACACAGUAUUAGAAAAUGGUAGUGUGAGUGGGACAUCUGUGUACUUUGGAUACAUUCUUGUUGUAUAUAUGGGUUCCUUGUAAUUCUAACAUGUCUGUCAGAGAGGGUUCACAUGACCUUGACCUCAUUUCAUGGAUCAGUGAUCAAGGUUUAAGUUAGGUGAUAAGGUCCUUUUCUCAGAUACUAUAAACAGUAGGUCAACUGUAUGUGUGUAUGGUAUGAUUGUAAAGGGACACAAUAACUACUAAAUUGAAAGGGGUUCAUACCCCCCUCCCUUUUUUCCAAAGUUCACAUGGAAUUCCUCUAAAAUUUUAAAGAAUAAGUACAUUUUGCAAUAAUUUAAAGGGUAUUAAUCCUGCAUUAUAAACAUAUCUAAAAAGCUUUCAUGUAUUUAUUAUAGAGCUGAUACUGUCAGAGUUAACAUCCAGAAAAGGGGUGACAAAUACAUGUAUUUUUAAAGGGUUAUUUAAAAGUAUAGAGUCAAUAUUUAAUAUUUAUGCUCCUAACAAUGAUUAUGUUCAGAAAAUUAUAGUUUGAACAAAUAUUGUUAAGGUGAUUUGAAAUGAAAAUUUGUCAAUCUAGUCAUUUGUCUCCAUGGCAACCAAAUUUACUUUUGAAACUAAUUUCUUUAUUUUGAAUAAUUUGAUGAUACUUGAUGGAAAAAAAUACAGAAAUAAAAUGAGAGAUUAAAUAUUUUAUCAUUAUAAAGCAUACAUUUAUUAAAAAUGUGUAUUUCUCAAAAUCGUUGUGUUCUGUUUCCAUGGAAACUGGUAGUUUGAUUUGAGGAUAAUUAUAAAUAAAUAACUGUUUUCUUUAC